Molecule: ribosomal RNA, 443 nt
Filed under: uncultured bacterium
Lineage: Bacteria
Description: partial 16S ribosomal RNA
Rfam family: Bacterial small subunit ribosomal RNA
Source: RNAcentral
CCUACGGGAGGCAGCAGUGGGGAAUAUUGGGCAAUGGGCGCAAGCCUGAACCAGCAACGCCGCGUGAAGGAAGAAGGCUCUCGUGUUGUAAACUUCUUUUAUCAGGGACGCAGCAAGUGACGGUACCUGCUGAAUAAGCCAUGGCUAACUACGUGCCAGCCGCCGCGGUCAUACCUAGGGGGCAAGCGUUAUUGGGAUUUCCUGCGUGUAAAGGGCGUGUAGGCGGUAAAGCAAGUCAGAUGUGAAAACCAGGGGCUCAACCUGUGGCCUGCAUUUGAAACUGGUUGUCUUGAGUACUGGAGAGGCAGACGGAAUGCCUGGUGUAGCGGUGAAAUGCGUAGAUAUUAGGAGGAACACCAGUGGCGAAGGCGGUCUGCUGGACAGCAACUGACGCUGAGGCGCGAAAGCGUGGGGAGCAAACAGGAUUAGAUACCCCUGUAGUC